AUCCUUUUCCGGUUCAUAAGCAUGAUGAUUGGGUGUUCUCAUGCUUCUUUUAAAUCUUGUUAUGCACUUGGCACAUUACCCAUCUGACA
This 89-nucleotide small nucleolar RNA is filed under the name Sorex araneus (European shrew). RNAcentral's name for it is "Small nucleolar RNA U13 (ENSSARG00000018617.1)". It matches the Rfam family "Small nucleolar RNA U13". The record is from RNAcentral. Lineage: Eukaryota; Metazoa; Chordata; Mammalia; Eulipotyphla; Soricidae.